Molecule: ribosomal RNA, 1519 nt
Filed under: Klebsiella pneumoniae BIDMC 41
Lineage: Bacteria; Pseudomonadati; Pseudomonadota; Gammaproteobacteria; Enterobacterales; Enterobacteriaceae
Description: bacterial LSU rRNA
Rfam family: Bacterial large subunit ribosomal RNA
Source: RNAcentral
AGGUUAAUAUUCCUGUACUUGGUGUUACUGCGAAGGGGGGACGGAGAAGGCUAUGUUAGCCGGGCGACGGUUGUCCCGGUUUAAGCAUGUAGGCUGAUUAUCCAGGCAAAUCCGGAUAAUCAAGGCUGAGGUGUGAUGACGAGGCACUACGGUGCUGAAGUAACAAAUGCCCUGCUUCCAGGAAAAGCCUCUAAGCAUCAGGUAACAUCAAAUCGUACCCCAAACCGACACAGGUGGUCAGGUAGAGAAUACCAAGGCGCUUGAGAGAACUCGGGUGAAGGAACUAGGCAAAAUGGUGCCGUAACUUCGGGAGAAGGCACGCUGGUGUGUAGGUGAAGUCCCUGCGGAUGGAGCUGAGACCAGUCGAAGAUACCAGCUGGCUGCAACUGUUUAUUAAAAACACAGCACUGUGCAAACACGAAAGUGGACGUAUACGGUGUGACGCCUGCCCGGUGCCGGAAGGUUAAUUGAUGGGGUUAUCCGUAAGGAGAAGCUCUUGAUCGAAGCCCCGGUAAACGGCGGCCGUAACUAUAACGGUCCUAAGGUAGCGAAAUUCCUUGUCGGGUAAGUUCCGACCUGCACGAAUGGCGUAAUGAUGGCCAGGCUGUCUCCACCCGAGACUCAGUGAAAUUGAACUCGCUGUGAAGAUGCAGUGUACCCGCGGCAAGACGGAAAGACCCCGUGAACCUUUACUAUAGCUUGACACUGAACAUUGAGCCUUGAUGUGUAGGAUAGGUGGGAGGCUUUGAAGCGUGGACGCCAGUCUGCGUGGAGCCAACCUUGAAAUACCACCCUUUAAUGUUUGAUGUUCUAACGUUGGCCCCUUACCGGGGUUGCGGACAGUGUCUGGUGGGUAGUUUGACUGGGGCGGUCUCCUCCCAAAGCGUAACGGAGGAGCACGAAGGUUAGCUAAUCCUGGUCGGACAUCAGGAGGUUAGUGCAAUGGCAUAAGCUAGCUUGACUGCGAGCGUGACGGCGCGAGCAGGUGCGAAAGCAGGUCAUAGUGAUCCGGUGGUUCUGAAUGGAAGGGCCAUCGCUCAACGGAUAAAAGGUACUCCGGGGAUAACAGGCUGAUACCGCCCAAGAGUUCAUAUCGACGGCGGUGUUUGGCACCUCGAUGUCGGCUCAUCACAUCCUGGGGCUGAAGUAGGUCCCAAGGGUAUGGCUGUUCGCCAUUUAAAGUGGUACGCGAGCUGGGUUUAGAACGUCGUGAGACAGUUCGGUCCCUAUCUGCCGUGGGCGCUGGAGAAUUGAGGGGGGCUGCUCCUAGUACGAGAGGACCGGAGUGGACGCAUCACUGGUGUUCGGGUUGUCAUGCCAAUGGCACUGCCCGGUAGCUAAAUGCGGAAGAGAUAAGUGCUGAAAGCAUCUAAGCACGAAACUUGCCCCGAGAUGAGUUCUCCCUGAGACUUUAAGUCUCCUGAAGGAACGUUAAAGACGAUGACGUUGAUAGGCCGGGUGUGUAAGCGCAGCGAUGCGUUGAGCUAACCGGUACUAAUGAACCGUGAGGCUUAACCUU